This 274-nucleotide ribosomal RNA is filed under the name uncultured bacterium. RNAcentral's name for it is "partial 16S ribosomal RNA". It matches the Rfam family "Bacterial small subunit ribosomal RNA", at positions 523 to 796 of the family's 1533-position model. The record is from RNAcentral.
AUACGGAGGGUGCAAGCGUUAUUCGGAAUCACUGGGCGUAAAGGACGCGUAGGCGGGUUGGCAAGUCAGAUGUGAAAUCCUACAGCUUAACUGUAGAACUGCAUUUGAAACUGCUAACCUAGAGUAUGGGAGGGGGAGAUGGAAUUAGUGGUGUAGGGGUAAAAUCCGUAGAUAUCACUAGGAAUACCGAAAGCGAAGGCGAUCUCCUGGAACAUAACUGACGCUAAGGCGUGAAAGCGUGGGGUGCAAACAGGAUUAGAAACCCCAGUAGUCC